AUGAACGCUGGCGGCGUGCUUCACACAUGCAAGUCGAACGCAGCAUUUGCGACCGAUUUUUUCGGAAUGAAGUUGCUUAUGACUGAGUGGCGGACGGGUGAGUAACGCGUGGGUAACCUGCCUUGUACUGGGGGAUAGCAGCUGGAAACGGCUGGUAAUACCGCAUAAGCGCACAAUGUUGCAUGACAUGGUGUGAAAAACUCCGGUGGUAUAAGAUGGACCCGCGUCUGAUUAGCUAGUUGGUGAGAUAACAGCCCACCAAGGCGACGAUCAGUAGCCGACCUGAGAGGGUGACCGGCCACAUUGGGACUGAGACACGGCCCAGACUCCUACGGGAGGCAGCAGUGGGGAAUAUUGCACAAUGGAGGAAACUCUGAUGCAGCGACGCCGCGUGAGUGAAGAAGUAAUUCGUUAUGUAAAGCUCUAUCAGCAGGGAAGAUAGUGACGGUACCUGACUAAGAAGCGCCGGCUAAAUACGUG
RNAcentral lists this ribosomal RNA (480 nucleotides) under uncultured bacterium. RNAcentral's name for it is "partial 16S ribosomal RNA". It matches the Rfam family "Bacterial small subunit ribosomal RNA", at positions 29 to 507 of the family's 1533-position model. The record is from RNAcentral.